This 451-nucleotide ribosomal RNA is filed under the name uncultured bacterium. RNAcentral's name for it is "bacterial SSU rRNA". It matches the Rfam family "Bacterial small subunit ribosomal RNA", at positions 354 to 796 of the family's 1533-position model. The record is from RNAcentral.
GUGAGGAAUAUUGCGCAAUGGGCGAAAGCCUGACGCAGCGACGCCGCGUGGAGGAUGAAGGUCUUCGGAUUGUAAACUCCUGUCGUGCGGGACGAAUGCCUCGGUCGUGAACAACGGCCGGGGUUGACGGUACCGCAGGAGGAAGCCCCGGCUAACUCCGUGCCAGCAGCCGCGGUAAUACGGAGGGGGCCAGCGUUGUUCGGAAUCAUUGGGCGUAAAGGGCGCGUAGGCGGCCGAUCAAGUCGAACGUGAAAUCUCCCGGCUCAACCGGGAACCUGCGUCCGAUACUGCUCGGCUCGAGUCCCGGAGAGGGUAGUGGAAUUCCCAGUGUAGCGGUGAAAUGCGUAGAUACUGGGAGGAACACCGGUGGCGAAGGCGGCUACCUGGACGGGUACUGACGCUGAGGCGCGAGAGCUGGGGGAGCAAACAGGAUUAGAAACCCUAGUAGUCC